GACGAACGCUGGCGGCGUGCUUAACACAUGCAAGUCGAACGGAAAGGCCCUGCUUUUGUGGGGUGCUCGAGUGGCGAACGGGUGAGUAACACGUGAGUAACCUGCCCUUGACUUUGGGAUAACUUCAGGAAACUGGGGCUAUUACCGGAUAGAAUCUCCUGCUGCAUGGUGGGGGUUGGAAAGUUUCGGCGGUUGGGGAUGGACUCGCGGCUUAUCAGCUUGUUGGUGGGGUAGUGGCUUACCAAGGCUUUGACGGGUAGCCGGCCUGAGAGGUUGACCGGCCACAUUGGGACUGAGAUACGGACCAGACUCCUACGGGAGGCAGCAGUGGGGAAUAUUGCACAAUGGGCGGAAGCCUGAUGCAGCAACGCCGCGUGCGGGAUGACGGCCUUCGGGUUGUAAACCGCUUUCGCCUGUGACGAAGCGUGAGUGACGGUAAUGGGUAAAGAAGCACCGGCUAACUACGUG
Molecule: ribosomal RNA, 468 nt
Filed under: uncultured bacterium
Lineage: Bacteria
Description: partial 16S ribosomal RNA
Rfam family: Bacterial small subunit ribosomal RNA
Source: RNAcentral